UUCCUAUGGCCGACGUGUGCGUGGAUUAAAAAAAAAAAUAUAUUGUUUCAAUUGUCGUCACUUAGUGUAUUCCGCCCGCAUCGGAGUCCACGCCGUCCUCCGACGGUUGAAAAAACGCGCCCGGAGUCUGGAAUUCGUCGCGAGGCGACUGAAUAAUAAUUGAGUUGGACGUGCCCUUGCCCUUACCCUUGGACCCGAUCUCGGACUUGGCCUGCAGUCUAGGGAGAGGAUCAGGCUGGUCCUGAAACCCCUUUAUUAUUUUUUUUUAUUUUAAUCCGUAAUUAUUUAAUUGCCGCGGCGUGACUCCAGUAUCAUAACCAGCCACGCGACUCACCACGCGCUAAAAUGUCCAACGAAGAAACUUCCGCUGAUAGGAAUGUCGAGAUCUGGAAGAUCAAGAAGCUCAUCAAGAGUCUCGAGAUGGCCAGAGGGAAUGGUACGAGCAUGAUAUCGCUGAUUAUUCCGCCGAAGGAUCAAAUCUCCCGGGUCAGUAAAAUGUUGGCUGAUGAAUUUGGUACCGCGUCUAAUAUUAAGUCACGUGUAAAUAGGUUAUCAGUACUUGGUGCAAUAACAUCUGUACAACAUCGACUUAAAUUAUAUACCAAAGUACCUCCCAAUGGCCUGGUUAUAUAUUGCGGGACUAUCGUCACCGAAGAAGGAAAAGAAAAGAAGGUCAACAUUGACUUUGAACCUUUCAAACCUAUAAAUACUUCCCUAUAUUUAUGUGACAACAAGUUCCACACAGAAGCAUUGACGGCGUUGCUGGCAGACGACAAUAAGUUUGGUUUCAUUGUAAUGGAUGGUAACGGUGCCCUGUUUGGAACACUACAGGGAAACACGCGCGAAGUCCUUCAUAAAUUCACUGUCGACUUACCAAAAAAACACGGUAGAGGAGGUCAAUCUGCGUUACGUUUCGCCCGAUUGCGUAUGGAGAAACGGCACAAUUACGUGCGAAAAGUUGCCGAAGUUGCGACGCAAUUGUACAUUACUAAUGACAAACCCAAUAUUGCUGGACUUAUCCUCGCUGGUAGCGCUGACUUCAAGACAGAGCUCAGUCAGUCCGAUAUGUUUGAUCCCAGAUUGCAAGCUAAAGUAAUAAAACUGGUGGACGUUUCUUACGGUGGUGAGAACGGUUUCAACCAAGCAAUCGAACUGGCAGCGGAGUCACUUCAGAACGUAAAGUUCAUCCAGGAAAAAAAGUUAAUCGGCCGUUACUUUGAUGAAAUAUCACAGGACACAGGUAAAUAUUGCUUCGGAGUUGAAGAUACGCUUCGCGCUCUAGAGCUCGGCAGCGUCGAGACUCUGAUCUGCUGGGAAAAUCUUGACAUCCAGCGGUACGUUUUGAAGAACCAUACGAAUGGCGAAGAAAAGGUGCUACAUCUCACUCCAGAACAGGAAAAAGACAAAACUCACUUUACCGACAAAGAAAGUGGGGUAGAGUUAGAAUUAGUCGAGUGUCAGCCGCUGCUUGAGUGGUUAGCGAAUAAUUACAAAAGUUUUGGUGCCACCUUAGAAAUAAUUACCGACAAAUCCCAAGAAGGCUCGCAAUUCGUCAGAGGUUUCGGUGGAAUCGGAGGAAUCCUACGCUACAAAGUCGAUUUCCAGUCACUGCAGGCCGAUGAGCCUCUCGAUGAUGUUGACCUCGAUGAUUACUAAGUUAUUCGUCUCAAAAUAAUACUCAGUGUCGAUUCAGCUCGCACUUUGGAAAAGGUAUUUUGCGAUACAAAGUCGAUUUUCAAAGUAUGCAGCUUGAAGAAAUUGAGUUCGAUAAUUUUGAUUUGGAUGAUUACUAAGCAAAUAAAUAAUAUCGAACACACAAAAACUUUUAUCAUCUACAAAAUAAAUUUUGAUCGUUAUGGUACCAGGAAAAAAAACUAAGGAACGGAAGUUACUGAAAUAAUUUUAAAAAAAUGUAAAGAAAAUUUUAGUACUACAAAUUAACAUAAAAUAAAAUAAUAAUAAAUAAAUAAAUGAAUAAAUAAAAAACAACGAUGAGCGUAAAGAGUUAAGUAUUUUUUGGUAAUCAAAAAACUUUUUGCGCUAAAAAUAUUGUCGUUGUUUAAAUUUAUUAUUAUUAUUAUUUACCAAGUUGAGAGUUUACGUUACGAUUUCACAAUAUUUUCAAUUAAUAAAUUACAAAUAUUACACAAUUAAAAUAACAAUAAUAAUAAAAAGCAAAAUCGCAAAACUUGUUGAAGUUAAAAUUUUUUUUUUGCCCGGUGUUAAUUAAAAUUAAAUUUAUCUGAAGCGAAUAAACGAUAAUAAUAAUUCAUUAAUUAAAAGUAAUUACAGUAAUUGUAACAAUUAACAUAUGAUUAUGGAUCAGCGAUAAUGUUUUAUGUCAAGUUAUAUAAAGAAAUUGAGUUUAGUAUGCGCGUGAAUGUUGGGAAAGUGAAAAUAAAAAAAAAUAGUUUGAGCCGAUGGAUUAAAUUAAAAGUUUUAUUAAUAAAUAAUUAAUUAUUUACAUGAAUAAUUAAUUUUAAAAAUACGAAUGACAACUCGAAGACUGUAAAACUCAUGCCAGCUUGAAAACCUGCCUACUACUUCAUAAAAAAAAUCUAAAUAAAAUCUUGCGAGUUUAAUCAGAAUGGAAAUAAAAUAAACAGAUAAAAUAUUGUAAGCGUGAUAUUAAUGUAUGAGUGUAUUGAGAUGUUAAGUAUGUAAUUGAGGUGUGGACUGAAAAAUAUUAAAAGCCCGUAUCUUCUCAGGACGCUCUAGGACCGUUUGAUAAUUGAGUCCAAGUCCCGGGAUACUAGUUGGUGUACAGAAAAUUUUUGUACAGUACGAUGCGCACUAUUUAAUUGUUCUGUUAACACUAUUAUUAUUAUUAUUAUUAUUAUUAUUUUAAGUAUAAAUCAUUUUUUUUUUUUUUUUAUGUUCCGAUAACUCAAUUUCUAACUUCUGUUUGAUCUAACGUCUAUGUUAUUAAUGUUUAUUAAUAAUAAAAUUAAAUUUAAAUAUUA
RNA transcript from Microplitis mediator, 2963 nucleotides. It is a transcript of the gene named eukaryotic peptide chain release factor subunit 1, with no coding region annotated. Lineage: Eukaryota; Metazoa; Arthropoda; Insecta; Hymenoptera; Braconidae. The transcript has 11 exons. The record is from RefSeq and is a predicted model, not a curated record.